RNAcentral lists this ribosomal RNA (692 nucleotides) under Flavobacterium sp. FlavoEI_XT7Tr1BE6_G04_31. Its description in RNAcentral is "bacterial SSU rRNA". It matches the Rfam family "Bacterial small subunit ribosomal RNA", at positions 60 to 753 of the family's 1533-position model. The record is from RNAcentral. Lineage: Bacteria; Pseudomonadati; Bacteroidota; Flavobacteriia; Flavobacteriales; Flavobacteriaceae.
AGUCGAGGGGUAGAGUUCUUCGGACUUUGAGACCGGCGCACGGGUGCGUAACGCGUAUGCAAUCUGCCUUUCACAGAGGGAUAGCCCAGAGAAAUUUGGAUUAAUACCUCAUAGUAUAAUGGGUUGGCAUCACCCCAUUAUUAAAGUCACAACGGUGAAAGAUGAGCAUGCGUCCCAUUAGCUGGUUGGUAAGGUAACGGCUUACCAAGGCUACGAUGGGUAGGGGUCCUGAGAGGGAGAUCCCCCACACUGGUACUGAGACACGGACCAGACUCCUACGGGAGGCAGCAGUGAGGAAUAUUGGACAAUGGGCGCAAGCCUGAUCCAGCCAUGCCGCGUGCAGGAUGACGGUCCUAUGGAUUGUAAACUGCUUUUGUACGAGAAGAAACACUCCUACGUGUAGGAGCUUGACGGUAUCGUAAGAAUAAGGAUCGGCUAACUCCGUGCCAGCAGCCGCGGUAAUACGGAGGAUCCAAGCGUUAUCCGGAAUCAUUGGGUUUAAAGGGUCCGUAGGCGGUUUAGUAAGUCAGUGGUGAAAGCCCAUCGCUCAACGGUGGAACGGCCAUUGAUACUGCUGAACUUGAAUUAUUAGGAAGUAACUAGAAUAUGUAGUGUAGCGGUGAAAUGCUUAGAGAUUACAUGGAAUACCAAUUGCGAAGGCAGGUUACUACUAAUGGAUUGACGCUGAUGGA